Molecule: ribosomal RNA, 470 nt
Filed under: Dinophilus gyrociliatus
Lineage: Eukaryota; Metazoa; Annelida; Polychaeta; Dinophilidae
Description: partial large subunit ribosomal RNA
Rfam family: Bacterial large subunit ribosomal RNA
Source: RNAcentral
UUCCUAUAGAAAAAUAUUAUAGGUAGGCCCUGCCCUAUGUAUUAAUAAAUGGCCGCAGUACCCUAACUGUGCUAAGGUAGCAUAAUCAUUUGUCUUUUAAUUAAAGACUGGAAUGAAUGGGUUAACACAAUAAUCACUGUAUCUACUAGACCAAUAAAAACUUUACUUUUGGUGAAAAUACCAAAAUACUCAUAAAGGACAAGAAGACCCUGUAGAGCUUUAGUUAUUAACUUUAAUUGGGGCGAUUAUGGAUACAUACAAAACUUCCAUCACUAACAAGAUUCACAAAUCAAUCUCUGACCCUCCAGGUUCAAAGAAUAAGCUACCUCAGGGUUAACAGGCUUAAAUUCUUUAAGAGUCCAUAUUGACAAGAUUUUUUGGCACCUCGAUGUUGGCUUAACAAUCUAGUUUCUGCAACAGGAAACCCAGAAGGUUUGUUCACCCUUUAAUGCGUUACGUGAUCUGAUUUC